GCGUAUCGCAAACAGUGCAGACACGUUACGGGAUGCCAUCGUUUAUCUUCCUAUUGGAGUAUUGACUGGCAGUCCAUCGCAUAGAUAACUGCGCAUAUUCUGGCGAAGGCUAUCGUUUGGAAGGAAAUUCCUCGUUUAUGUUCGUCACGGCAAAUUACCUGCGUGGCAGCAUAAAGCGCGGUUGAUCGAUAGCGAGAAAGAGGGUGGGGGCUUUGUAGGCAUGUUUCCAUAGUUGUUACUGUGACAAAGAAUUACAGGACGGUUACGACUCGUGUAACGCGAAAUUCAGCGUCAGCUGUGCGUGUGGUGAAAUGAAGCGGGAUGAAAGUAUGUAGGCAAAUUUAUUUAAGCGUGGCUUCACUAACUUAUUUUUUGUUGUUGUUGUGGUUGCUGAAAUGGUUGGCGAGGUGAAUGGUGUCCUGAACGAGGGGCUGUUUUGGAACACCAAGUCUAUGCAUGCGCCAUGUCUAGCUGUGGAUUGGCGGAUGGCGGUGCACAGCGUGAGGUCAAGUUGUUGUUGGGGCUUCGCGGAAAGACCACUCUAGUGCACUUCUCAUAUACAGUGCACCUCUGUUUCAUCAGUAUCGUUCAUCUUGCCUACGCCUCACUUUGAAAUCGUCAACUCUCGUCUCCCCCUUUUUUUUCUUUUUCUUUUGCUAUAGUCGUGACGAUGCCCACUUCAGUGCGGCCAACAACGGCAAGCUACUUCGACCCCCUCCCCCCUCCAGUUGUUGGGACAUAUCACUUAGGAAAGUGGUGUUCUUGGCCAGUGAAACGUCCACAUUGAAGUCUGCGACGACGAGAAGGAUGUGCGUGCGGUAAGGCGCGAGUACAUACAAGUUGCGGAUGCGUUCCGGCGAUGCGCGAGGCGAGAAGUAGCUGACACAGCCACCACAAUCCCCGUGGGAAGCUGCAUGGCGCAAAUUCCUGCGAAGUAAUUUCCAGGAAGGGUAGCUUCAGGUGGUGUAGCCAGUACUCCGGCACGCAGGUAAAUGGCAACUCCGGCCGCUCUGUUGCCCUUGGCACUGCGACGCGAUCCGCAGAAGCACUUGAAGUGCGCAUCUCACUUUCCAUCGAUAUAGCGGUUGUAAACUGGCGGGAUUCUCCUCCUUACUCCCAGCGCUAAGCGCACAUGCGAUAAGAGUUUUGUGCGGAUAUUUGAAUUGCCGACGACGACGACUCGAUCUCAGGCCGCGGUGCGGGAUUCGAAACUGCAACUGUGCUACAAUUGCUGCAAUUCUUACUCAGGUGUCAACAUGGGCAUUUCAUAUACACAUGCUUGGAGGGCUGUGAGGAGGCCUUCAUCUCGACUUAUAUAGACAUUAGCGUUUUGGGGACAAAUAUAUUACAGCGUCAGCUGUAUAGUCACUUUCCCGAUAUCGCGUUAGCGCCGUCGGCAUUCGCAUGUCCGCACAAAACUCUUAUCGCAUGUGCGCUUAGCGCUGGGAGGAAGGAGGAGAAUCCCGCCAGUUUACAACCGCUAUCGAUGGAAGCCGAGAUAAAAACCCAGCGCGCUUCAAGUGCUGCUGCGGGACGCGUCGCAGUGGCAAGGGCAACCGAGCGGCCGGAGUUGCCAUUUGUCGGCGUGACGGAGUACUGGCGACACCACUUGAAGUCAACCUUCCUGGAGACGACGUCGGAGAAAUUUCUGCCGUGCAGCUUCCCACAGGGCUCGUGGUGGCUGUACGCUCCUUCUCGCCUCGCGCCGCGCUGGAACGCAUCCGCGACUUUGUGGUGUAUGUAUUCGCGCCUUACCGUGCGCACAACCAACCGCCGUUUAACUGGCCAAGAACACCACUUUCCUAAGUGAUAUGUUCGAACAACUGGACCUUACGCUGUGCACCGACAUCCGCCAAUCCACAACUAGACAUGGCUCAUGCAUAGUCUUGGUGUUCGAGAACAGCCCUCUCGUUCAGCGACCACAAAUCAAUACUCAUCAUGCUUAAAUAAAUUUGUCUACGCACUUUCA
Long non-coding RNA from Ornithodoros turicata, 1969 nucleotides. RefSeq lists it as uncharacterized. Lineage: Eukaryota; Metazoa; Arthropoda; Arachnida; Ixodida; Argasidae. The record is from RefSeq and is a predicted model, not a curated record. The transcript has 2 exons.